RNAcentral lists this ribosomal RNA (437 nucleotides) under uncultured Acidobacteriota bacterium. RNAcentral's name for it is "SSU rRNA". It matches the Rfam family "Bacterial small subunit ribosomal RNA", at positions 242 to 696 of the family's 1533-position model. Lineage: Bacteria; Pseudomonadati; Acidobacteriota. The record is from RNAcentral.
CAGCUAGUUGGCGGGGUAAUGGCCCACCAAGGCUUUGAUCGGUAGCCGGCCUGAGAGGGCGCACGGCCACACUGGAACUGAAACACGGUCCAGACUCCUACGGGAGGCAGCAGUGGGGAAUUUUGCGCAAUGGGGGAAACCCUGACGCAGCAACGCCGCGUGGAGGAUGAAGUCCCUUGGGACGUAAACUCCUUUCGACCCGGACGAUAAUGACGGUACGGGUGGAAGAAGCCCCGGCUAACUUCGUGCCAGCAGCCGCGGUAAUACGAGGGGGGCAAGCGUUGUUCGGAAUUAUUGGGCGUAAAGGGCGCGUAGGCGGUGCGGUAAGUCACCUGUGAAAUCUCCGGGCUUAACUCGGAGCCUGCAGGCGAAACUGCCGUGCUUGAGUGUGGGAGAGGUGCGUGGAAUUCCCGGUGUAGCGGUGAAAUGCCUACAUA